GUUAUUAGUGACAGAUUACAAAUAUAAGACAACACAUUAGCAAUACAAUCAUAAUACUUUUUAUCAAAGACAUAUCAAAAUUAUAACUGUCAUUGAUUUUUUUAACCUUAUAAUUCAUGAACUAUGUCAAUUAUUUAUUUUUCAUACGUUUCUUUAAUAAACAUU
Thalassophryne amazonica is the source of this 165-nucleotide long non-coding RNA. RefSeq lists it as uncharacterized. The record is from RefSeq and is a predicted model, not a curated record. The transcript has 3 exons. NCBI's taxonomy places the organism in Eukaryota, Metazoa, Chordata, Actinopteri, Batrachoidiformes, Batrachoididae.